This 478-nucleotide ribosomal RNA is filed under the name uncultured bacterium. RNAcentral's name for it is "partial 16S ribosomal RNA". It matches the Rfam family "Bacterial small subunit ribosomal RNA", at positions 28 to 507 of the family's 1533-position model. The record is from RNAcentral.
GACGAACGCUGGCGGCGUGCUUAACACAUGCAAGUCGAACGGGAUUUAGUAAACAGAAACCUCGGUGGAAGAUUACUAAUGAGAGUGGCGAACGGGUGAGUAACGCGUGAGCAACCUGCCUAUGACAGUGGGAUAGCCUCGGGAAACCGGGAUUAAUACCGCAUAAAAUCGUAGAAACACAUGUUUUAACGGUCAAAGAUUUAUCGGUCAUAGAUGGGCUCGCGUCUGAUUAGCUAGUUGGUGAGAUAACAGCCCACCAAGGCGACGAUCAGUAGCCGGUCUGAGAGGAUGAACGGCCACAUUGGAACUGAGACACGGUCCAAACUCCUACGGGAGGCAGCAGUGGGGAAUAUUGCACAAUGGGGGAAACCCUGAUGCAGCGACGCCGCGUGAACGAAGAAGGUAUUCGUAUCGUAAAGUUCUGUCCUAUGGGAAGAUAAUGACAGUACCAUAGAAGAAAGCUCCGGCUAAAUACGUG